RNAcentral lists this transfer RNA (72 nucleotides) under Mustela putorius furo (domestic ferret). It matches the Rfam family "tRNA". From Rfam's summary of the family: Transfer RNA (tRNA) molecules are approximately 80 nucleotides in length. Their secondary structure includes four short double-helical elements and three loops (D, anti-codon, and T loops). The record is from Rfam by way of RNAcentral. Lineage: Eukaryota; Metazoa; Chordata; Mammalia; Carnivora; Mustelidae.
GCCUGGAUAGCUCAGUUGAUAGAGCAUGUGACUUUUGAUCUCAGGGUCUUGAGUUCAAGCCCAUGCUGGGUG